This 506-nucleotide ribosomal RNA is filed under the name uncultured bacterium. RNAcentral's name for it is "partial 16S ribosomal RNA". It matches the Rfam family "Bacterial small subunit ribosomal RNA", at positions 28 to 523 of the family's 1533-position model. The record is from RNAcentral.
GAUGAACGCUAGCUACAGGCUUAACACAUGCAAGUCGAGGGGUAACGAGAGGAAAGCUUGCUUUCCUUGUCGACGACCGGCGCACGGGUGAGUAACGCGUAUCCAACCUGCCCCCAACUAGGGAAUAACCUUGAGAAAGUAAGACUAAUACCUUAUAAUUUCCUCAGAUGUCAUCUGACGAGGAAUAAAGAUUUAUCGGUUGUGGAUGGGGAUGCGUCUGAUUAGCUUGUUGGCGGGGUAACGGCCCACCAAGGCAACGAUCACUAGGGGUGCUGAGAGGAAGGUCCCCCACAGUGGAACUGGGACACGGUCCAAACUCCUACUGGAGGCAGCAGUGAGGAAUAUUGGUCAAUGGGCGGAAGCCUGAACCAGCCAAGUAGCGUGCAGGAUGACGUCCCUAUGGGUUGUAAACUGCUUUUAUACAGGAAUAAAGUUAGCCACGUGUGGUUAUUUGUAGGUACUGUACGAAUAAGGACCGGCUAAUUCCGUGCCAGCAGCCGCCGUAA